GAUGAACGCUGGCGGCGUGCCUAAUACAUGCAAGUCGAGCGAACAGACGAGGAGCUUGCUCCUCUGACGUUAGCGGCGGACGGGUGAGUAACACGUGGAUAACCUACCUAUAAGACUGGGAUAACUUCGGGAAACCGGAGCUAAUACCGGAUAAUAUAUUGAACCGCAUGGUUCAAUAGUGAAAGACGGUUUUGCUGUCACUUAUAGAUGGAUCCGCGCCGCAUUAGCUAGUUGGUAAGGUAACGGGUUACCAAGGCAACGAUGCGUAGCCGACCUGAGAGGGUGAUCGGCCACACUGGAACUGAGACACGGUCCAGACUCCUACGGGAGGCAGCAGUAGGGAAUCUUCCGCAAUGGGCGAAAGCAUGACGGAGCAACGCCGCGUGAGUGAUGAAGGUCUUCGGAUCGUAAAACUCUGUUAUUAGGGAAGAACAAAUGUGUAAGUAACUAUGCACGUCUUGACGGUACCUAAUCAGAAAGCCACGGCUAACUACGUG
RNAcentral lists this ribosomal RNA (497 nucleotides) under uncultured bacterium. RNAcentral describes it as "partial 16S ribosomal RNA". It matches the Rfam family "Bacterial small subunit ribosomal RNA", at positions 28 to 507 of the family's 1533-position model. The record is from RNAcentral.